This 245-nucleotide ribosomal RNA is filed under the name uncultured bacterium. Its description in RNAcentral is "partial 16S ribosomal RNA". It matches the Rfam family "Bacterial small subunit ribosomal RNA", at positions 524 to 767 of the family's 1533-position model. The record is from RNAcentral.
UACGAAGGGGGCUAGCGUUGUUCGGAAUCACUGGGCGUAAAGCGCACGUAGGCGGAUUGUUAAGUCAGGGGUGAAAUGCCAAGGCUCAACCUUGGAACUGCCUUUGAUACUGGCAAUCUCGAGUCCGGGAGAGGUGAGUGGAACUGCGAGUGUAGAGGUGAAAUUCGUAGAUAUUCGCAAGAACACCAGUGGCGAAGGCGGACUCACUGGCCCGGUACUGACGCUGAGGUGCGAAAGCGUGGGGA